This 186-nucleotide unclassified non-coding RNA is filed under the name uncultured Basidiomycota. Its description in RNAcentral is "sequence contains ITS2". Lineage: Eukaryota; Fungi; Basidiomycota. RNAcentral also lists the same sequence under 1 other name. The record is from RNAcentral.
AACUCUCAACCCCCUUAUUUUGUAAUGAGAUAAGCGCGGGCUUGGAUCUGGCUGUUGCCGAUUCUAAUCGAAUCGACUCGGCUUAAAUAUACGAGCUGCCACUUACUUAAAGGUCAACUCGGCGUAAUAAUACUUUAUCGCUGGGCUUUAAACUAGGGCGCUUCUAAUGCGUAGACACAUCUAUAC